GAUGGAAGAACGUAGCGAAAUGCGAUAAGUAAUGUGAAUUGCAGAAUUCAGUGAAUCAUCGAAUCUUUGAACGCACAUUGCGCCCCUUGGUAUUCCGAGGGGCAUGCCUGUUCGAGCGUCAUUUCAACCCUCAAGCUCUGCUUGGUAUUGGGCUCUCGCGGGGGAUUAAGUCCCUGGCGUGCCUUAAAGCUAUCGGCGGUGGUGCCCUGCUUCGAGCGUAGUAAAGUUUAUUCUCUCGCUUUGGAGGUUAGGGCUUCGCCUGCCGGAAAAACCGGGCUUCGCGCCCACUUAUUCAAAGGUUGACCUCGGAUCAGGUAGGGAUACCCGCUGAACUUAAGCAUAUCAAUAAGCGGAGGA
Molecule: unclassified non-coding RNA, 357 nt
Filed under: soil metagenome
Description: partial contains 5.8S ribosomal RNA, internal transcribed spacer 2, and large subunit ribosomal RNA
Rfam family: 5.8S ribosomal RNA (bases 5-121)
Source: RNAcentral